Molecule: ribosomal RNA, 515 nt
Filed under: uncultured bacterium
Lineage: Bacteria
Description: partial 16S ribosomal RNA
Rfam family: Bacterial small subunit ribosomal RNA
Source: RNAcentral
ACUGAACGCUGGUGGCAUGCUUAACACAUGCAAGUCGAGCGAAUGGAUUAAGAGCUUGCUCUUAUGAAGUUAGCGGCGGACGGGUGGGUAACACGUGGGUAACCUGCCCAUAAGACUGGGAUAACUCCGGGAAACCGGGGCUAAUACCGGAUAACAUUUUGAACCGCAUGGUUCGAAAUUGAAAGGCGGCUUCGGCUGUCACUUAUGGAUGGACCCGCGUCGCAUUAGCUAGUUGGUGAGGUAACGGCUCACCAAGGCAACGAUGCGUAGCCGACCUGAGAGGGUGAUCGGCCACACUGGGACUGAGACACGGCCCAGACUCCUACGGGAGGCAGCGGUAGGGAAUCUUCCGCAAUGGACGAAAGUCUGACGGAGCAACGCCGCGUGAGUGAUGAAGGCUUUCGGGUCGUAAAACUCUGUUGUUAGGGAAGAACAAGCGCUAGUUGAAUAAGCUGGCACCUUGACGGUACCUAACUAGAAAGCCACGGCUAACUACGUGCCAGCAGCCGCCGUAA